CGCAACCGAAAAGUAAACUAAACAACUAAUUAACGAACUAGAAAAUUAAAUUUGGGUUUUCAAAUUAAUGGGAACAUGGGAGUGUCUGGUGAUUCACACUAACUAUCUUGCAAAUAUCAAUGCCAAUUUUACAAAUGCAUGAAUUUCCUUUAUGUGUCAAGUCCCGUAUCUAGUACCGGUUAAGGCUACUAAACCAAUUAUCCUUUCGGUGUAUCGAUUAUGCCGGUUAGGGCCACAAUCAACUCUCUAAUUUGGGCAUUACGCCGGUUAAGGCCGCAAUAUCCAAAAUUAGAGGCCUAGAGUGCAAGAUAAUAGAGACCCAAGCAAGCUUAGCUACAAUUAAGCUAGCUAAUGGUUACCACACUUAAAUCCUAGAUGCAACAAGACCAAUAAGUUGUCAAUUUAUCAAUCC
This 412-nucleotide long non-coding RNA is filed under the name Rosa chinensis. Its description in RNAcentral is "sRNA RchiOBHm_Chr2g0140871". The record is from RNAcentral. Lineage: Eukaryota; Viridiplantae; Streptophyta; Magnoliopsida; Rosales; Rosaceae.